GCGUUCAACAUAUAUAUCAUACACGAGGGAACCCUAAAACCCAGCGGCAUCCCGAUCUGAGCAAUCCUUCUCGUCCGGCGGCGCUCGGACGAAUGGGCUGGCCUCUGGCCUCGUAGUCGUCGUGGGAUCUGCUGCCGGACGGGUAGUCAAGGCUAUUGCUCUUGUUCCAUUAGAGGGAGUUUUGCUCGAGGCUGCUUGGUGGUUCUGGCUGGGAUGGUGAACGGAGGUUGUCGUGCUAACAAGUCCGGUGAUCGAACCCUGAUGGCGGCGUCAUCGGUCUGAACUUGGUGGUGGUGGGAGAUGAGUUUCUUGGAUCGGGGUUUGGUUUUUCUCUAUGGUGGCGUGGGUUGAGGCGGUGUGGUCUGUGCAGUUUGGGUCAUCGGCGGUGGGCGCUAGUGACAGCGCAGAUUAAAGCAAGUGCAGGUCGUGGCGGCGUGCGGCGGACAGAGCAGGGUUGGGCUGGUUCUUACGACGGGGAUGUGGGAGUGGGUGGACUGGACCGGAUCUGGCUGAAUGGGCCUUGGGUGGACUUUGCUUUGGUGGGCUUUGAGUUUCUGGGCUGGGGUUUCUACCCUAGUCCAAUAGCUUCUAAUUUGGGCUAGGGUUUAGGCUCUUGGCCCAAACCUAUGUUUUUAGCUUUUGUCUAAUUACAAUAAGUUUCUUGUAUUAGGAACCUAACGAGUGUAGUUUGGCUUGUCUAUUCGCUAUGUUUCCAUAGCUUUUAGGCUCGCUUUUAAAGUGAGCGAUUAGUUCGAAUAUAAUUGGUCUAUCCUAUGUACUACUGUGGCUCCUCCACGAAACCUUGAUCUGACCAUUAUUAUGUGUCAGCGGGUGAGUAUGUAAUGGCCUUCUUGGCAUGCGCUAUUAUCAAUGGAAUUACCAUUAUUA
RNAcentral lists this long non-coding RNA (888 nucleotides) under Rosa chinensis. RNAcentral's name for it is "sRNA RchiOBHm_Chr6g0255121". The record is from RNAcentral. Lineage: Eukaryota; Viridiplantae; Streptophyta; Magnoliopsida; Rosales; Rosaceae.